Small nuclear RNA from Symphalangus syndactylus (siamang), 106 nucleotides. The record is from RefSeq and is a predicted model, not a curated record. NCBI's taxonomy places the organism in Eukaryota, Metazoa, Chordata, Mammalia, Primates, Hylobatidae.
GUGCUCCCUUUGGCAGCACAUAUACUAAAUUGGAGUGAUACAGAGAAAAUUAGCAUGGCCUCUGAGCAAGAAUGACACACAAAUUCAUGAAGCAUUCCAUAUAUAA